RNAcentral lists this long non-coding RNA (578 nucleotides) under Homo sapiens (human). Its description in RNAcentral is "PEF1 and COL16A1 antisense RNA 1". Lineage: Eukaryota; Metazoa; Chordata; Mammalia; Primates; Hominidae. The record is from RNAcentral.
GGGGGCGGUGGGCGGAUGCCUACCCGAGAGACCAGGGGAGCUAAGUGAUUGAUGGAGCUUCCGGAAGUCUUGGCGGCUGUACCAGCGCUAAUGUUCCUCCUUUUCCUGAGGUAUUCUAAUCACAGAAUUACUGGAGCAUCAAGAAGUGCCUGCAUGCUUGGAAGGGCUUCCAGGCAGAUGAACACACCUCAGCACCGGGUGGCAUUUUCCCAGGGUGCAACCCGGACCGGCUCUGGGUCACACUGACAAGGACAACAGGGUUAACAAUUUCCAGAGACAGCCCGUACAUAGAAGGAAUGUUUACUGAAAAAAAUGAAGAGGGGUCAGGGCAAGGCGAGGAGCAAGAAGCACCCCCAAGGAAACAGAGAAGACCAGUACAACUGUACCUCUUUGCCAGCUGCACCAUCCGUACCAGGUGGCACGUUCCAGAGCCAUAGCCUCUGUUCUAUUCAUCUCCAGUCUCCUGGGGUGGAAGUGUCCAGCACAGAGACUGCCACACUGCAAGACGAAGGGGCUGGACACACGGAAGAGAGAGGCGGAACCCUGCACCCCCUCAACCUCAGCCCUACUGAGUCUCC